GACGAACGCUGGCGGCGUGCCUAACACAUGCAAGUCGAACGGCGAAACAGGCCUUGCCUUGUGGCAAGGGAGCGAACGGGUGGGUAACGCGUGAGUAACCCGCCACGAAAAUCGGCACAACCCGAGGAAAAGCGGGCUAAACUCGGAUGUGCUCACUGGACUACGGUUGAGUGCGGAAAGGAAGCGUAGGCCUCCGUAUCGGGAGGGGCGAGGGGCCCAUUGGUUUGUUGGUGGGGUAACGGCUCACCAAGACCCCGAUGGGUAGCGGGUCUGAGAGGACGAUCAGCCACACUGGGACUGAGACACGGCCCAGACUCCUACGGGAGGGAGCAGUGGGGAAUGUUGCUCAAUGCGCGAAAGCGUGACGCAGCAACACCGCGUGGGUGAAGAAGGCCUUCGGGUUGUAAACCCCUUUUGGGGGGGACGAAGGGGAGGCGGUGAAUAGCCGGCGGUACUGACGGUACCGCCAGAAGAAGCACCGGCUAACUACGUG
Molecule: ribosomal RNA, 493 nt
Filed under: uncultured bacterium
Lineage: Bacteria
Description: partial 16S ribosomal RNA
Rfam family: Bacterial small subunit ribosomal RNA
Source: RNAcentral